RNAcentral lists this ribosomal RNA (468 nucleotides) under uncultured bacterium. RNAcentral's name for it is "partial 16S ribosomal RNA". It matches the Rfam family "Bacterial small subunit ribosomal RNA", at positions 28 to 507 of the family's 1533-position model. The record is from RNAcentral.
GACGAACGCUGGCGGCGUGCUUAACACAUGCAAGUCGAACGGAAAGGCCCUGCUUUUGUGGGGUGCUCGUGUGCCGAACGGGGGAGUAACACGUGAGUAAACUGCCCUUGACUUUGGGAUAACUUCAGGAAACUGGGGCUAAUACCGGAUAGAAGCUCCUGCUGCAUGGUGGGGGUUGGAAAGUUUCGGCGGUUGGGGCUGGACUAGCUGCUUAUCAGCUUGUUGGUGGAGUAGUGGCUUACCAAGGCUUUGACGGGUAGCCGGCCUGAGAGCGGGACCGGCGACAUGGGGACUGAGAGACGGCGCAGACGCCUAUGGGAGGCAGCAGUGGGGAAUAUUGCACAAUGGGCGGAAGCCUGAUGCAGCAACGCCGCGAGCGGGAUGACGGCCUUCGGGUUGUAAACCGCUUUCGCCGGUGACGAAGCGUGAGUGACGGUAAUGGGUAAAGAAGCACCGGCUAACUACGUG